Molecule: small RNA, 28 nt
Filed under: Bombyx mori (domestic silkworm)
Lineage: Eukaryota; Metazoa; Arthropoda; Insecta; Lepidoptera; Bombycidae
Description: ovarian small RNA-12388
Source: RNAcentral
AUAUCGAACGAGCGUAUAUCCGCGUGCC